AGAGUUUGAUCCUGGCUCAGGGUGAACGCUGGCGGCGCGCUUAAUGCAUGCAAGUCGAACGUGCCUUCGGGCAAGUGGCAGACGGCUGAGUAACGCGUGAGUAACGUGCCCUCCGGUGGGGUAUAGCCUCGGGAAACUGAGAGUAAUCCCGCAUACGAUCCGGUGGCCUUGGUUGCCGGAUGAAAGCCUUCGGGCGCCGGAGGAGCGGCUCGCGUCCUAUCAGGUAGUUGGUGGGGUAAAAGCCCACCAAGCCGAUGACGGGUAGCUGGUCUGAGAGGACGAUCAGCCAGAGGGGGACUGAGACACGGCCCCCACUCCUACGGGAGGCAGCAGCAGGGAAUUUUGGGCAAUGGGCGAAAGCCUGACCCAGCGACGUCGCGUGAGGGAAGAAGGCCUUAGGGCUGUAAACCUCUUUUCCCGGGGAAGAGAAAGGACGGUACCCGGGGAAUAAGCUCCGGCUAACUACGUGCCAGCAGCCGCGGUAAUACGUAGGGAGCAAGCGUUACCCGGAAUUAUUGGGCGUAAAGCGUCCGCAGGCGGCCGUUUAAGUCUGUUGUUAAAUCGUGGAGCUCAACUCCAUCACGGCAAUGGAAACUGUUCGGCUUGAGUAUGGUAGGGGCAGAGGGAAUUUCCGGUGUAGCGGUGAAAUGCGUAGAUAUCGGGAAGAACACCAGUGGCAAAAGCGCUCUGCUGGGCCAUUACUGACGCUCAUGGACGAAAGCCAGGGGAGCGAAAGGGAUUAGAUACCCCUGUAGUCCUGGCCGUAAACGAUGAACACUAGAUGUUGGGGGAAUCGACCCCCUCGGUGUCGUAGCUAACGCGUUAAGUGUUCCGCCUGGGGAGUACGCACGCAAGUGUGAAACUCAAAGGAAUUGACGGGGGCCCGCACAAGCGGUGGAGUAUGUGGUUUAAUUCGAUGCAACGCGAAGAACCUUACCAAGGCUUGACAUCCUGCGAAUCUCCAAGAAAUUGGAGAGUGCCUUCGGGAACGCAGUGACAGGUGGUGCAUGGCUGUCGUCAGCUCGUG
This 1027-nucleotide ribosomal RNA is filed under the name uncultured bacterium. RNAcentral describes it as "bacterial SSU rRNA". It matches the Rfam family "Bacterial small subunit ribosomal RNA", at positions 8 to 1064 of the family's 1533-position model. The record is from RNAcentral.